This is a non-coding RNA of Pelobates cultripes (western spadefoot toad), 246 nucleotides long. The record is from the annotation of a GenBank genome assembly. NCBI's taxonomy places the organism in Eukaryota, Metazoa, Chordata, Amphibia, Anura, Pelobatidae.
AUGGACACAAAAUCACUUAAGUGUUUUUAAUAAACCAUGGAUCUCAAUAGACAAAAGUUACUGUUUAGAAAAAUGCCCCCCAUAACUUUUGGCUGUAGGAAAAUCUCUGUUUACCUUAUUACUUUGAAAUUCAUUUUAAUGUUGGCAUCAAACUACUUACUGAAACAUUCAAUCCAGCUCCAGUAACAAAAUCAUGAAAUAGCUCAAUUGACCUAAGCCACCCCUCUGAUUAGCAGAACGUUAUUG